Zalophus californianus (California sea lion) is the source of this 385-nucleotide long non-coding RNA. RefSeq lists it as uncharacterized. The record is from RefSeq and is a predicted model, not a curated record. NCBI's taxonomy places the organism in Eukaryota, Metazoa, Chordata, Mammalia, Carnivora, Otariidae. The transcript has 3 exons.
CAGUCAAGAGAGCUUACCUGAAAGAGCUCCCAGGGCUUUUCCGGGUUGCCCCCGCCCGCCUGUCGCCUGCCGUUAGAGGCCGAGGAAGUGCGCUGGGGAUUCCGCAUCUGCCUCCUGAACCCCAGGGUCCUCUCGAGACCCAGGAGAUAUGGAGCUCUUUGAUAUUUAUUGAACAAGAGAUGAAGACCUGGAUCAAUAGUUUACAUUGCACUAGAGGAAGAACACGUGUGAAAAAGACAAUAAAACAGGGCAUACCCGUGGCUUCAUGAAUCUUCACCUUGAUGACGGAGACCUGUGGGACCGAGAGGUUGUUCAGCCCCUUGCUAAGGUCAGCUGAAGAAAGCUGCACCCCCUGACUCCUUGGAUCCCCUGCACCAGAUGCCAC